This is a long non-coding RNA of Manis pentadactyla (Chinese pangolin), 2022 nucleotides long. RefSeq lists it as uncharacterized. Lineage: Eukaryota; Metazoa; Chordata; Mammalia; Pholidota; Manidae. The transcript is spliced from 3 exons. The record is from RefSeq and is a predicted model, not a curated record.
AGUCACGUAAAUGGCCACCGUGACAGCCAUCGCAAAGCCAACAUUGAUAGUGACAAUUCCUCCAAACUUUCCUCGACUAAGGAUAGCUUGGGCAACAGAGCCACAUCCAAGGACCUGGAAAGAAAGGAAACUCAACAGAGCUAAUUAAAUGCCCUGGGUGCAACUUCCAAGCUAGCUGGCAUUUUGGUAGCAUCUUCUGAAAAGAGGAACAAAAUAUUACUGACAACUGGGAGGACCCAACUUAGACCACUGAGACAAGAAGAAACACAUCCAGACCCCCGACUCAUCCUCAGAUAUUACUGCUUUCUGGGGAGGAUAAUCGAGGCUAUGAACUGCAGGGAGGGCAAGCAAGAGAAAUUAGCAAUGUAGGGACUUUAAUUACCCUCCUCAGAAAUUGCCACUCAGAAGACUGCAGCCCAGAUUCACAUCAUUGCUUCUUAAUUUUAAAAUAAAUGUAUUAGAGGGUGAAAAAGCAAUGAGGAAAUCAGGUAACUGCCUAUUGGUGUCUUCCCUUGUCUGCCUUCCCCACCUGCAUUCACAGCACCAGGGAAGCAGAUCUUGGAUAUUCUAAUGAAUCAUGGUUGAUGGCUGGGGACUUGGCCACCCACUCCGGUUUCCCUCAUCUGUGUGCCCAGUGUACCUUUUUCCCUUCAAAAAUGAGAGAACUGUCUUUUGUGGUAUAACUGAGAUAUAUUACAACAUGAUUCUCUGCCCUAACCAUCGAGUACUGCCACACCACUCCCAUUCCUAGACAUAAAGAGACCCUAUCCAUCCUGUCUCAAUUUGCUGGGCCCCCUAUUUGGAAAGAUUUUUUGGACACACCAGUCAUCCAUCCCUAUUCUCAUCAAACCUAACCUUUCUUCUCUGAAAUUCCCGCAUGCUACCCAUACUAUGUAAUUACUACUUGGUUGUUUUCCAAGGGCCUGAUCUUGAUUUCCUUAUCUAGGAACCAUCUAUAAGAUUCUUUCCCCAUGCCAACAGCCCUUAAUAGGCCAGUUUGUUCUGUUUUGUUUUGCUUCCUUGGGUAUCAUGUUUCCCAAGUCCAUCCUCACUCUGGUGCAGGACAUCUAUAGGCCCUCAAGGUCUCCCACCUUCUUGUCAGGAUUUAGCAUCUGCUCCAUCUAGCUGCUUUCUCCAGAAGAACUGGAAAAAUCACAAAACCAUGCAGGGGGGAUAUUAUAAAGCCAUAUAUUUGGUUUUCAUUGUGUCCUUCACUGUCCACUCAAAUCUCAUUCACUUCUCAUUUGUAGUCUCCCAAUAGCUUCACCAAGCCUUCCCUUCUGUCAGCUGCUUAAUCCACCCAAGUCCCUUUCUGCAAAUACCAUUACCUACUACUUGACUCAGCACCUAUAAGAGGCCUUAAAGAUCAAUGGCAAUUUGGAAUAUCACAUGCACAUUGUGUGCCAGUUUCUCAGUGCUGAGUAACUAACUACCUCCAAACCUAGUGCCCUAAAUGCUAUGAUUUAUUUCGCUUAUGAAUCUGCAAUCUGGGUGAUGUUUGCCAGGGCGUCUCAUCUCCACUCCAUCUGGUGUCAAAUGUGAUGGCUCAAAGUUGGAGAAUUGGAAUUACCUGAGGUCUCACACAAUCAUGUGUCUAGUGGUUGACGUUGGUGGCCAGCUGAUGCCUUAGCUGGGGUGUCGGCCCAAACGCCUGCAAAUGGCCUCGCCAUGUGGCUUGGCUUCUUCACAACAUGGUGGUUAGGCACCAAGGAUGAGCACCAUGUAGGCUCCAUAGCCUGUGUUCUUACACCCUGCACCACCCUCUCUCUCAGCCUAGGCACUAUGCUCGUUCUGACUCAAUGGCACAGAAACUGGAUCUGAUAUAUAAGCACUCUCUCUACAGCAUCCUGAACCGAUGUUCACCUGGUCCUUGCUGGACUACCGUUAGGCGUAGGGAGUUUAUUACAUCAGGCAGCUUCUUCUGUAUAAUGCUUGUUGUUCCAGUUGCUGGGGAGUCCUUUCUUAUAUGAAGUUAAAGUCCUCUUUCCUACCAUUUCUGUUAGCUCCAGGCCUACUCCUGGG